UGCUGAAGCCAGAUCCAGUGGUGUGCGUCCGCCUUCAUUGUCAGUGUGGCACUUGAUGCAAAGACCAGCCCCGGAUUUCUUCCACAGCUUCAAUCCAGGUAGCAUCGGAUGGCUGAUAGCGCACUUGGCAAUCCUCCACGUGGCAAAGGCUUCUGAAAAAGAGGAAAAAGUUCAGCAGUUUUGUUGUCCGGCUCCUGAAAAUCCAAGUAAAUCCUGUUCCCAAGGAAGCUGGGCUCGCAGAGGGUAGCGGAGAGGCAUCUCUCACAUCAUCCUGCUUGUGCGCACGCACGGGAGGUGACAGGUUUUUGAACUGCCUUCUGCAGCCUGGCUCCGUGUGUGCCCAGAGCCUGGAAGAGCCGGGCCAGUCUUAGGAAGUACCUGGCUUCUGUGCUUUUGAAUGAAACCGAGAACUUUCUGGGCAGAGCUAAUCUCGAGGAGGAAAUCCCUUUCCUACUGCAGGAGGUGACCCCAGGGGAAGAUGGCGUGGCAAGGACAUGAGCCAGCUGCCGCCUCGCCUGCCUGGGCAGCCCCUGCCUUCCUGGAGCUCGGAAGCACUCAGCCACUGCGUUGUCCACCGCGGAGACACUUCCCUUGCAGGCACGGCCGCGCUCUCAGGAGGACACCUGUCGGUGUGAGUCUCUGCUGUCUCCUCCGAUCAGGCAGCUGAGGACAGGAGCUUGACGGAGACAGCCCGCUCGCAGGAGCAGCGGGAGCUCACGUUUGCUUUCAGGGCUGCAGCUCCCUGGGACGGUCCUGAGCUCCGCAUAUUUUGCAGCCCUGUCCCAUACGGGUCUCGUCAACCUAUAGACGGUGAACAAGAAAAUCCAUCCCCGCCAUGGGGUGCCAAGGCAGUACAGGGGGCUAUAGGUCUCUACCAUAGGUUUGCUGGACCCAUGCGGGUUGGGGAAGAGGUGGCUGAUAUCAACAGGGAAAAGACCUCACCAUCUCCCUUGUUACCCUAACA
Long non-coding RNA from Chroicocephalus ridibundus (black-headed gull), 964 nucleotides. RefSeq lists it as uncharacterized. The transcript has 4 exons. NCBI's taxonomy places the organism in Eukaryota, Metazoa, Chordata, Aves, Charadriiformes, Laridae. The record is from RefSeq and is a predicted model, not a curated record.